GGAUAACGAAUCAAUGGGAUUGCUAAUCCGUCGGUCGUGGGUUCGAGCCCCACCCGCCCCA
Molecule: transfer RNA, 61 nt
Filed under: Frankia casuarinae
Lineage: Bacteria; Bacillati; Actinomycetota; Actinomycetes; Frankiales; Frankiaceae
Description: tRNA-Ser (GCT) (tRNA-Ser-GCT-2-1)
Source: RNAcentral